UUGAAGUUCAGGUAACACUGAAUGGAGGACCGAACCGACUUACGUUGAAAAGUGAGCGGAUGAACUGAGGGUAGCGGAGAAAUUCCAAUCGAACCUGGAGAUAGCUGGUUCUCUCCGAAAUAGCUUUAGGGCUAGCCUCAAGUGAUGAUUAUUGGAGGUAGAGCACUGUUUGGACGAGGGGCCCCUCUCGGGUUACCGAAUUCAGACAAACUCCGAAUGCCAAUUAAUUUAACUUGGGAGUCAGAACAUGGGUGAUAAGGUCCGUGUUCGAAAGGGAAACAGCCCAGACCACCAGCUAAGGUCCCAAAAUAUAUGUUAAGUGGAAAAGGAUGUGGCGUUGCCCAGACAACUAGGAUGUUGGCUUAGAAGCAGCCAUCAUUUAAAGAGUGCGUAAUAGCUCACUAGUCGAGUGACACUGCGCCGAAAAUGUACCGGGGCUAAACAUAUUACCGAAGCUGUGGAUUGUCCUUUGGACAAUGGUAGGAGAGCGUUCUAAGGGCGUUGAAGCAUGAUCGUAAGGACAUGUGGAGCGCUUAGAAGUGAGAAUGCCGGUGUGAGUAGCGAAAGACGGGUGAGAAUCCCGUCCACCGAUUGACUAAGGUUUCCAGAGGAAGGCUCGUCCGCUCUGGGUUAGUCGGGUCCUAAGCUGAGGCCGACAGGCGUAGGCGAUGGAUAACAGGUUGAUAUUCCUGUACCACCUAUAAUCGUUUUAAUCGAUGGGGGGACGCAGUAGGAUAGGCGAAGCGUGCGAUUGGAUUGCACGUCUAAGCAGUAAGGCUGAGUAUUAGGCAAAUCCGGUACUCGUUAAGGCUGAGCUGUGAUGGGGAGAAGACAUUGUGUCUUCGAGUCGUUGAUUUCACACUGCCGAGAAAAGCCUCUAGAUAGAAAAUAGGUGCCCGUACCGCAAACCGACACAGGUAGUCAAGAUGAGAAUUCUAAGGUGAGCGAGCGAACUCUCGUUAAGGAACUCGGCAAAAUGACCCCGUAACUUCGGGAGAAGGGGUGCUCUUUAGGGUUAACGCCCAGAAGAGCCGCAGUGAAUAGGCCCAAGCGACUGUUUAUCAAAAACACAGGUCUCUGCUAAACCGUAAGGUGAUGUAUAGGGGCUGACGCCUGCCCGGUGCUGGAAGGUUAAGAGGAGUGGUUAGCUUCUGCGAAGCUACGAAUCGAAGCCCCAGUAAACGGCGGCCGUAACUAUAACGGUCCUAAGGUAGCGAAAUUCCUUGUCGGGUAAGUUCCGACCCGCACGAAAGGCGUAACGAUUUGGGCACUGUCUCAACGAGAGACUCGGUGAAAUCAUAGUACCUGUGAAGAUGCAGGUUACCCGCGACAGGACGGAAAGACCCCGUGGAGCUUUACUGUAGCCUGAUAUUGAAAUUCGGCACAGCUUGUACAGGAUAGGUAGGAGCCUUUGAAACGUGAGCGCUAGCUUACGUGGAGGCGCUGGUGGGAUACUACCCUAGCUG
Molecule: ribosomal RNA, 1466 nt
Filed under: Staphylococcus aureus
Lineage: Bacteria; Bacillati; Bacillota; Bacilli; Caryophanales; Staphylococcaceae
Also listed under: 2 other names
Description: partial 23S ribosomal RNA
Rfam family: Bacterial large subunit ribosomal RNA
Source: RNAcentral